UACGUAGGGGGCUAGCGUUAUCCGGAAUUACUGGGCGUAAAGGGUGCGUAGGUGGUCUCUUAAGUCAGAGGUGAAAGGCUACGGCUCAACCGUAGUAAGCCUUUGAAACUGGGGAACUUGAGUGCAGGAGAGGAGAGUGGAAUUCCUAGUGUAGCGGUGAAAUGCGUAGAUAUUAGGAGGAACACCAGUUGCGAAGGCGGCUCUCUGGACUGUAACUGACACUGAGGCACGAAAGCGUGGGGAGCAAACAGG
This 252-nucleotide ribosomal RNA is filed under the name uncultured bacterium. Its description in RNAcentral is "partial 16S ribosomal RNA". It matches the Rfam family "Bacterial small subunit ribosomal RNA", at positions 524 to 776 of the family's 1533-position model. The record is from RNAcentral.